GUCCCACAGACGGCAGGAGAUUAAAGAAAUUAGCCGUUCAAAAAAAAAGUUGUCUACCUAUAAGUGUUACACAAAAAACUUCAUAAAAAUGUAACAUAUUGUAACGUGCACUGCAAACUAAAACCCUUCGUAAAUUUUGAAAAUAUUGAAAAUUGUAACAGUUAAAGUUCAAAAAAAUUUGAAAAAACUGUUAUCAAAACCCAUAAAAUGUGUAACACAAUAACACAUUCUUUCUCCCCUCUCCUAUGACACGAAAAAUAUUAUAAUAUCAAAAAAUAUGACUGUCAAAAAGUGUAACACGUGGCAUGAUUUAUGUCCACCCAUUUGGGUUUAUUUGGUUUUCUUAACUCAUCAAGGAUAUAUCUCUAUAGUUCACACACACACAUAUACAGGGAACAGGAUCAGGAGAGAACGCCGCAAAGUGUGA
RNAcentral lists this long non-coding RNA (427 nucleotides) under Helianthus annuus (common sunflower). The record is from RNAcentral. Lineage: Eukaryota; Viridiplantae; Streptophyta; Magnoliopsida; Asterales; Asteraceae.